RNA transcript from Mus musculus (house mouse), 4642 nucleotides. It is a transcript of the gene named ATPase, class I, type 8B, member 5, with no coding region annotated. The transcript has 29 exons. Lineage: Eukaryota; Metazoa; Chordata; Mammalia; Rodentia; Muridae. The record is from RefSeq and is marked validated.
AUUUAAAAAAAAAAAGCUACUCAGUGGUCACAGUGGCUUCUAAGCUAAAACUUAAACCCCUCCAGGAGUGCCCUCCACAUACCCAUCACACAUACCCAUACACACAAUUCCGCAGCUGAAUUUGCCCUCAGUGCCAUUUUACAUUCUUGUGUCCAUUCUUGUUAAUUUCCAGUCACCCCUUCCACACUACCUUUCAGUCUGUCACCUCUGGGAAGCCAUCUGGACCCCACCAACUCUGGGCAGCACGCCCCUUUGUUAUUCUCCCCUCAUUAGCAUGCAGUUAGCCCCUGGAAGGAUCUGAGGAUUUCAUCUCAGGACUUGGCCAUCUCAGGGAUUUAGGACUCAACUACUUCAAAGCCAGACUUUCCAGCUUCAGUAUCUGCAGAAAGGGGCGUGGCGGGAGACGAGCUCGCGGCAGCGCGUGGGCGGGCGGGUCCAGCUCUGGGCGGAAGCUGUGGUUCUGUGGCACAAGCGCAGAAAGGUGCGUUAAGAUGGAGGUUGCUGGAGUAGGAGGCUGUGAGGCGACGGUGGUGUUUCUCUGAGAUGAAAUACGUAAAAGCUUUUGUUUCAGAGAUUUCAUGGGAUUGUAGCUGGUACUGCUCUGCAAUGCAAGAGAGGAGGAAUGAAGACAGACAGAAGGAAGAAGAGGAAAGGAUUUUGCAGGCCAACAAUAGAAGGUUCAACUCUCUUUUUGAGUAUCCGGACAAUUCCAUCAAGACAUCAAAGUAUGGUUUCUUUAACUUCCUGCCCAUGAACCUGUUUGAACAGUUCCAGAGACUUGCAAAUGCCUAUUUCCUCAUUUUGCUCUUCCUACAGUUGGUCCCGCAGAUCUCCUCCCUGGCCUGGUACACGACCGUGAUACCCCUGAUUGUGGUGCUAUCCAUAACUGGAGUGAAAGACGCCAUCGAUGACGUGGUGAAGUGGCUUCCUGGGCUUCCCUCACUAGACCUAAAAAGACACCGAAGUGACCAGCAGAUCAACAACCGCUCUGUUUCAAUCCUGGUGAACGGCAGGGUUGAGGAGAUCAAGUGGAGGAAUGUCCAAGUGGGGGACAUAAUUAAGCUGGAGAAUAACCAUCCUGUUACCGCAGACAUGCUGUUGCUCUCUAGCAGUGAGCCGUACGGCCUGACAUACAUUGAAACAGCAGACCUGGACGGUGAAACCAACCUGAAAGUGAAGCAAGCCAUCUCCGUCACCAGUGCCAUGGAGGACAACCUGGAGCUGCUGUCCUCCUUUAAUGGAGAAGUUAGGUGUGAUCCUCCUAAUAACAAGCUGGACAAGUUUUCUGGAACCCUGAGCUACCUGGGGAACACCUACUUACUGAACCAUGAAAGGCUACUGCUCCGAGGCUGCGUCAUCCGGAACACAGACUGGUGCUACGGUUUGGUCGUUUACACUGGGCAAGACACCAAAUUAAUGCAGAACAGUGGACGGUCCACCUUCAAACGAACACAUAUAGAUCAUCUCAUGAAUGUCCUUGUGGUCUGGAUUUUCAUGUUUUUAGGUGGAAUGUGUUUUCUGCUGUCGAUUGGACAUGGCAUCUGGGAGAACAGCAGAGGCUACUAUUUCCAGGCCUUUCUCCCAUGGAAACAUUAUAUUACCUCAUCGGCUACGAGUUCUGCCCUCAUUUUCUGGUCCUACUUCAUAGUGCUCAACACCAUGGUACCCAUUUCCCUCUAUGUCAGUGUGGAAAUAAUAAGACUGGGCAACAGUUACUACAUCAACUGGGAUCGAAAGAUGUUUUACGCCCCAAAGAACAUGCCAGCGCAGGCUCGCACCACCACUCUUAAUGAGGAGCUGGGCCAAGUCCAAUACGUGUUCUCUGACAAAACAGGAACCCUGACUGAGAAUGUGAUGAUUUUCAACAAAUGUUCUAUCAACGGGAAGACCUAUGGUUAUUCCUACGACGACAAUGGAGAGUAUGUGCCAAAAUCUCCAAAAGACAAGGUGGACUUCUCUUACAACCACCUGGCUGACCCUAAGUUUUCCUUCUAUGACAAGACCUUGGUGGAAGCGGUGAAGAGUGAAGACCCGCUGGUCUACCUGUUCUUCCUCUGUCUCUCGCUGUGCCACACGGUGAUGUCAGAGGAGAAGGUGGAAGGUGAGCUGGUGUACCAGGCUCAGUCACCAGAUGAAGGUGCCCUGGUUACGGCUACUAGGAACUUUGGCUUUGUGUUCUGCUCCCGCACACCUGAGACUAUCACAGUGAUCGAAAUGGGGAAAAUCCGAGUUUACCGCCUACUGGCUAUCUUGGACUUCAGCAAUGAGCGCAAGAGGAUGUCUGUCAUUGUUCGGACACCUGAAGAUCGAGUCAUGUUGUUCUGCAAGGGAGCAGACACCAUCAUCUAUGAGCUGCUGCAUCCAUCUUGUGCAUCCCUUAGUGAAGUGACCAUGGACCACUUAGAUGAUUUUGCCAGCGAAGGCCUUCGCACCCUCAUGGUAGCUUACCGAGAGCUGGAUAAGGCAUAUUUCCAGACAUGGAUUAAAAAGCAUGGUGAAGCCUGGCUGACUUUAGAGAAUCGAGAAAGGAAACUAGCUCUGGUCUAUGAAGAAAUCGAAAGAGACUUGAUGUUACUAGGGGCCACAGCCAUAGAAGACAAGCUUCAGAGAGGAGUACCUGAGACCAUUGUCACCCUGAGCAAAGCCAAAAUUAAAAUAUGGGUUCUGACUGGCGAUAAGCAAGAGACUGCUGUGAACAUCGCCUACUCCUGUAGGAUAUUCAAGGAUGAAAUGGAUGGGGUGUUCAUGGUGGAAGGCACAGAUAGGGAAACUGUUCUGGAAGAACUCAGAACAGCUAGGAAGAAGAUGAAACCCGAGUCUCUGCUGGAAUCAGAUCCCAUAAACAUGUACCUCGCCAGGAAGCCCAAAAUGCCUUUCAAAUCACUUGACGAGGUGGCCAACGGCAACUAUGGCUUGGUCAUCAGUGGCUACAGUCUGGCCUAUGCUCUAGAAGGGAGCCUGGAGUUCGAGCUGCUGCGGACCGCAUGCAUGUGCAAGGGCGUGGUCUGCUGCCGGAUGACACCCCUCCAGAAGGCCCAAGUGGUAGACCUGGUGAAGAGGUACAAGAAGGUGGUGACACUGGCCAUCGGGGAUGGGGCCAAUGACAUCAGCAUGAUCAAAGCUGCCCAUAUCGGGGUUGGCAUCAGCAACCAGGAAGGGAUGCAGGCCACGCUCAGCAGUGACUUCUCCUUCUGCCAGUUCCACUUUCUUCAGCGCCUGCUCUUGGUGCACGGCCGCUUGUCUUACAAUCGCAUGUGCAAGUUUCUCAGCUACUUCUUUUACAAAAACUUUGCCUUUACCUUGGUGCACUUCUGGUAUGCCUUCUUCAACGGCUUCUCUGCGCAGACAGUUUACGACAUCUGGUUCAUCACCUUCUACAAUCUCAUCUACACUUCCCUCCCGGUCCUGGGCUUGAGUCUGUUUGAAAAGGAUGUGAAUGAAACUUGGAGUCUGUGUUAUCCAGAGCUGUAUGAACCAGGACAGCACAACCUGUACUUCAACAAGAAAGAAUUUGUGAAGUGCUUACUGCAUGGCAUCUACAAUUCCUUCGUGCUGUUCUUUGUCCCCAUGGGGACCGUCUUCAACUCAGAGCGCAAUGAUGGGAAGGACAUCUCCGACUUCCAGUCCUUCUCCCUGCUAGUGCAGACGACUCUGAUUGGCGUCAUGACAAUGCAGCGCUUUUCAGAUUGCCCUGAGGACAACCUCCUGGACGAUGAUAAACCACACCUUCACGUGGGGCAGCCUGGGGCUCUACUUCUGCAUCCUAAUCUUACUGUGUAGUGAUGGCCUGUGUCUCAGGUACCCCAGCAUCUUCAAUUUCCUAGGUGUGGCCAGGAACAGCCUUAGCCAGCCACAGAUCUGGCUGUGUCUCAUCCUCAGCACCAUCCUCUGCAUGAUUCCUCUGAUUGGAUACAACUUUCUCAGACCACUCCUCUGGCCCAUCAACGCUGACAAGGUUCUGAACAGGAUCCAUUUUUGCUUGAAACAUCCAAUACCAACCCAAGUCCAGACCAAAAUAAAACACCCAAGCCUUCGACGUUCUGCCUACGCGUUCUCCCACAAACAGGGCUUUGGGGCCCUCAUCACGUCUGGCAAGACGCUGAAAUCCAGUGCCUUGGCAAAAAGCAAGAGGUUCUUGUAAAACAUAGAUGCCCUUAAGGAAACCUUCACCCAGUCAACUGUUGCUCUACAUCCCUUUUAUUUAUGCAACUUAGUAAAAGAGGGAUCAGGGUGCUUCAGAAACCAGGGUUUCAACUUCUCCACUCCCCAGAAAGCUGUACCCAGGAAAGGUAAGGGAAGAGGCUGCAGCAUUUCCAGAAGAGGCGAGUCUAAGCCUCCCGGCAUUCCCUCAGUUCUUAACCCAGACAAGCACAUGCAGAAGCCAUGAAAGGGGAAAGGAGGAGGAAGAUGGGGCCUGAACGUCUUAGUCUGGCCCCUGACUCUGCCACACACAGAGCAACUGUAACCCUUCCCAGACCCCAGGUGACAGUGUUCCCACCCAGACACUAUUCUCAGACUUAUCUGAAAGAUUCAGGGGGCCGGGGUGAGUAUUUUGUUGGCCCUGAGUAGCGAAGAUGGGGGUGGUAGCUAUGAAGAGUUGGUCUUAAGAAGCUGAAUGAGUUUCUGGAUCAAGUAGGAAAAA